This is a long non-coding RNA of Corticium candelabrum, 870 nucleotides long. RefSeq lists it as uncharacterized. The record is from RefSeq and is a predicted model, not a curated record. The transcript is spliced from 3 exons. NCBI's taxonomy places the organism in Eukaryota, Metazoa, Porifera, Homoscleromorpha, Homosclerophorida, Plakinidae.
CGCAGGUAUUGCACGGUGGCUGGACAUUAUUCCAGACAGCUGUGAUGGUCUAAGUACUUCUGAAGCAGGGUUUGCUUCCGGUACUUGUAAUAGACUUUACCAACCAGACUGAUCUGGUUGAGUACGACAAUAAUAAUACGACCGUGUUACCUGCUGUUUUGGCUAGUGCAGGUUCCUGCAAGAAAAAUUAAGGGUGUGGUCAAGAAAUCACAAGACAUUUGUUUCGUUCAAUAUACGUAUUGUUUUAGGCAAUGGUUACAAGGAGAGUCUAUUUGCUUGCUGUAGAAAGUGCAUACAGAAGCAAACUGUCGUCUGUUCAUCUUUGCGCAUGCCGCAGGGUGUUUACACCUCAAGAUCUUGAAAGAUCCUGGAAGACCACCGCAGCUGCCAAGAUCUUGGUUUGAUUUUGUAGUAUAUGUAGACGGUAGAAGGUAGUUUUAGUUUGUAUUCUUGUACUGACUUAUUUCUAGGUUUUUUGUGAUUUAGCUCACUUGGUUGACACAAGUUGUUCCGCAAUUUCGUGCCACAUAGAACCCAAGAUCUCUGUCAACUUUACUGAAAUUUACUCUUGAGUUAACAGAUGCCAUCAAGAAAUGCUCAAGGUCUAAGAACAGCAAGAUAUUCCAAGUUCUUACCAAGAGUGUAUACAAGCAUUGAUUUAUACUUUUCAACUGUAACAGCUAUGGCCUGUAUAUUCUACCUAUGUGUAGUGAAGACAAAUGUAUGAUGUAUAGACUUACAUGCUGUUGCUCAUGUAGAUAGUCUGGCAUUUUUACUGUUCUAAAAAUUUUAUAGCACGUAUAUAUUGCAGCUAGAUACUACUAGUGAAGUUGUAGCGUUAAAUUAUUAAUAUCAAGUAUCCUACCUUUU